UUCUGAAGGUCGACGUUACCUCGAUCCACGAUCACUUAGAUAAGGUGAUAGCGGUGCAAAAUAUGCUUGGUGCACUGACGGGAUUUCGGCUCCUUGGCUUGAGCAAUGGCUCCAGUAUUGUCACAGUAUAACAAGAUAGGGCCAUCAAUGGAGGGUGCCACUCUGAUCUCAUCGAUAAACUUUCGCAACCAUACAGCUUCCUUCGU
Molecule: long non-coding RNA, 206 nt
Filed under: Elaeis guineensis (African oil palm)
Lineage: Eukaryota; Viridiplantae; Streptophyta; Magnoliopsida; Arecales; Arecaceae
Description: long non-coding RNA (EGUI_LNC078952)
Source: RNAcentral